GGGUCUGUAGCUCAGCUGGUUAGAGCACCGUCUUGAUAAGGCGGGGGUCGCUGGUUCGAAUCCAGCCAGACCCACCA
RNAcentral lists this transfer RNA (77 nucleotides) under Burkholderiaceae bacterium. Its description in RNAcentral is "tRNA-Ile". It matches the Rfam family "tRNA". From Rfam's summary of the family: Transfer RNA (tRNA) molecules are approximately 80 nucleotides in length. Their secondary structure includes four short double-helical elements and three loops (D, anti-codon, and T loops). Further hydrogen bonds mediate the characteristic L-shaped molecular structure. tRNAs have two regions of fundamental functional importance: the anti-codon, which is responsible for specific mRNA codon recognition, and the 3' end, to which the tRNAs corresponding amino acid is attached (by aminoacyl-tRNA synthetases). tRNAs cope with the degeneracy of the genetic code in two manners: having more than one tRNA (with a specific anti-codon) for a particular amino acid; and 'wobble' base-pairing, i.e. permitting non-standard base-pairing at the 3rd anti-codon position. The record is from RNAcentral. Lineage: Bacteria; Pseudomonadati; Pseudomonadota; Betaproteobacteria; Burkholderiales; Burkholderiaceae.